AUUUUUACUCAGCUCUUUGCUAUUUAAUUGACUCAUUGCCUUGAAAAAAAUUCUCCGAUAUAACCGUUACGGUAGUGGUCAGUACUAGAGCAUCAAUUCUGUACAAAAUUUAGAAAUGUGUGUUAAUUGCAUUAGGCCGUGCUCUGUUCUAUAUUUGUAUUGAUAUGUAUGUGUGCAGAAUGGCUGCUGACUUGAUUCCUCUUACUAUGCAAGCUUAAAACCUGGCUGUUUGUGGAUGAAAUCCAAUUUCCAUUCUAAGCUCCCUGGGAUAUUCGGCCUUAGUUUUAGUAAUCACUUGCCAUUAAUAGUGCCCCAAACAAUUUUUAGUACUUAAAAUACAGAUUUCAUGUAUAAUAUAUAAUACAGCACAUCACCUCUACUUAUAAAUUGUAAGCCAGAUACAUAAUGCAUUAUAGCAUAUUAAAACAUGGACACUUUAACAUCUAAACAGGCUCCUGUCCAACAGAAUUCACAAAUUAAGAACUCGAUCCAGUGCUGUACAUAGGAAACUUUCAAUGACUUCUUUGGGAAUUGUGUCCCAGGAAUGUGAUAUCUAGCCUCCUCACAGGCAGAUGAAAUAGAUGCGGCAGAUUCGGUAACAAUUUGAUAGCAUAUAUGGUCAGAAAAAUGAUUGUAUAAAAGUGGGACUUUCUUACUCAUCAUAUACCCUUUGUAUCUAAGAUACUCUGACUCAUAAUUGCUUAGUUUACUGACUGAAAUAAAAUUUUAGGCUUCUGUUACCUUGGCAGUUGCUGACACAAUUACGGUACAGCAAGCUGGGAACUGGUUUCAGCUCUUCCAUUUUCUUUACUAAGUUCCAGUUGAAGAAUUUUAAUUAGCAUUUGAGCCAGAAAGAGCACAGCAUGACUUGAAAAUCUCAGGUCCAGUUUGUAGGGUCAUCAGUCCUAAGGAGCCUCUUUUUAUUUGUAAACUGAGCAAAUGAAUUCUAGAAAAUUUUGAAGGCAAAAAUAAAAAACCCCACAAUGUUCGACUGAAGCCAUCUUGAGUCAAUUUCCACAGUGGAACUGGAUAAAUUAUAACACUGCUCCCUUUAUCUCACUGAGUACGUCCCAUUCAUCUGUAGUAACAUUGAAUCAAACAAUUCUCUUGUUUCAAGACCACAUCUGUUUUACUGUGCCCCCCGUACCAAUUUUAAUUAUGUGGCAGAUCUGAUUGGAUUCAGCACCUGCAAGUCUUCCCUUUGGGAGCGCCAAUUAGCUUAUAAAACAUUUACUUGAUUUCAUUCUUUAAACAAAAGUAUUGUUUCAUCCUAACAACAGGAAUAUUAAAGUGUGGAAUAAAAAAGGGUUCUAACGUGAUAAGCAGCAUGUAUGUUGUUUGCGUAUCUGUCUUCCAUAAGCUUAGAGGAAAAAGUGGUAAUCCUGAAACCUAAUUUCCUCAGACUCAGCAGAUGUCUGUCCUGCAUUAGGCUGUUUCUUUACCAACAGCUGUUUCACAAGUGCCUCCCCUUGUCUCUACAGAAUGCCUUUUGUUUAAUAAUUUCCCGAUAUGUUAUCUCCCAAUCCCACUAAGACAAGCAUUUUCAACUUUUCUGGUACGUAUAAGUAGGAUUUUUAUAGUUUAAUAGACAGGUUCAUCUUUGAAGAAUUUAGCUAAAACUAUAUAACUAGUCUUUCAGUUUCUUACUAGCAGUUCUACUUAACUAAGAAAAUAGCUGCGUAUAAUAAACAUUUCAGCAAUUACUGUCUUAAUAUUAAUAAAUAUAUUAAUACAUAUAUGCUUCAGAAUGUGCUUAUUUUUCCUUAUUUCUGCUUUGAGCAGUGAUAAUUGAGGUCUAGGGGGGCGUAUAGCAUGAAGUGCAGCCCUCUAGUGGUAGAGGUCAUGGGGAGUUUAACGCAAGCUGUGUUUUUGUCAUGGGUGGGGGACAAUGACAUAGCUUUUAGCAAAAUGCAAGCAACCUGGGACCCUUCCCUGCCAUAUAUCAGCCUUCUGCAUUGUUCAUGGUCUGAAGCACGAGUGAAAAUAGUUGUGGAGGCCUGCUGCUUGUUCCCACUCUGUCCUGAUUCUGAUGGAGAUAGGGCCAAUGGAAAAAUAAAAAAAGUCUGUAUCAGCAGAGUUUUCCUCUUUUUCCGAAUUUGUAAUCUGUUGCUCAGUUUUUCUUUUUCAGCCUGCUGUAGACCGGCUUAUCUAACCAGAGGUUGUUCAAGCUGUUGUGGGAUCUUGAUCCCUUUUCUGUUUCUUUCAGUCAUGUCCUACCAGCUAAUGUAUUCUAUAACUUCAGCAACAGUCAGUUCAGUGAUAGCAUGGAAUCCAAAUUCAAUUUGCCAGCCUUAUUUCUAAAAAAGCUAUUGGCUGGUGGAGGUGUGGAUGGUAGUGUUCAAACUAAUCUCUCCCACAGAUAUGAGAGCUGGGCUUAGAAGUGAAAGGGGUUAGGAAGAGACAUAAACCAAAGCAAUUAAGCAUGUAUUUUAACAAAUAGAAAUCUGAAGAAUAACUGAGAUUAAGUUCUAGUAAACAUCACCUCAUCUGAUAACAUCCACUUUGUGGAGCAAGACUCAACCUCCUGUUUCUUGUAGAGGUGAUGGAUAUUUCUCCUCUGGCUAACAGAAUGAACAGUUUGUUUUUCCUGUUACGGGAAAUAUGACAGAGCCUAAUAAUCAUUAGAUGAAAAACAAUACCUCUUAAAUAUCCUGGCUAGGUAAAAGAAAACAGAUACAGCUUUUGUCCAACAUGAUGCCACUGCUAGUGGCAGUUUUUCAUUACUGACCGUUUGCUGUGAUUCCUGGUAAGCUUUAGCUCCACUAAAAUUACAGUUAGUGAUGAACUCAGAAGUCUCUUUCAAGUUUUUAACUUCCACCUUCUGUUUAUGAAACUUUUUCGUCCAAUAAUCUAUCAGUUAAAUUUAUUUAUUAAAUUAUCCAGUUGAUGCAGAAGUUUUUCACCAGUAAAAAAUAUAAAGUUUCAGUGGAAGUUCUCCAAGACUGCAGCAACAUUAAGCUAAGGAAAAUCAAAUCCAAGGUUUGGGAAAAAAAAAAAAAAAAGCUAAACAUGUAUUAGACAGAAAGUGACCUGUUUAUGUUUUCCCAUAUUUAUAUUCCUUUUAUUAUCUGCACUUAUAUGCAUUACCAAACUAAAAGCCAAGUGUUUUUUAUUGCACUCUUCACAGAUAAGAGCAUGGACAACUGCUAAACCCAUUCAUGUUGUAGACCAUUUACUAUGUAGUAUCUUUCUUUUUCCAGUAAACUGAGAAUGGUAACUUAAAAUUUGUAAUAAUUUGACUUACUAUUUAUCAUAACAUGAAUAUAUUGGCCAAAACUCCCUUUCUAGUGGUGGAAUGAGAGAGAAUGUGUAGGAAAUCAACAUCCAUUCCUGCUGUCUCAGCAGAAGGAUCACCUGCCUGCUCCUAUUCCCACAAUAUUCAUCAAAAUUUGCAAAGGGUUUUUUUGACUUUUCUUCAGGAAUAUAGAAUUGAGUUGUUCCUAGUUCUUCAUUCCUGAAUCUGUAGAUCAGAUUUAUAAGCUGUUCUUGUAUUCUUUAUAUCUUGAGGUUACCUGAGGCCCUAUCCGGAUCUCGGUGUAAAAAACACAGUAGCCUCAGGACAAUUUUCAUCUCUCCCGAGGAACUGACUAUGUGGAUCAGGUCAUGAUCCAUGAAACUCCAGUGGCUAGACACUUACCCCAAAAAGGCAUCUCCAUGGUGAUAUUUCUGAAAAGUAAUUUAAAAGAACUUUUGUUUCUCAGAAUGAAAGAAUCAGAAAACUUGAUUCUAAUUACCUUCCAAUAACAGUAGUGUUUCCUGGGGUUUUUUUGGGGGGUUUGUUCUUUUUUAAACAGGAAAACAGAUAAUUCAAGGUUUAAAACUGGUACAAACUAGGAGUAAUGAAGCAAUGAUGUAAUAGUAUGUGAGAAACAGCAGGAUCACCUUGUUUGUUUUAUGUCAGUUUAUGGUGUUAUUGAUUGGGUAACUGCUAGCACUGUCUUGUAAAAGAACAUCAGUGAAGCAUCUCUUCUACCAACUGAUUUCAGCCAGCUAUCACUCCAGAUGCUUCAGGAUGUAUUGCUCUAACAGUACGGUGAACAGGGUAUUUUUCAAGGCAUCAGCAUACUUGUUUCCAAUCUCUGUUAAUAUAAUUGUUCUAGCAGAAUCACUAUUUUAUGUCUCAUUUUACCCACCCACCAACAACUGUCUUACUUCUUUGAAAUUUUGGCACUUUCAGAGAACUGAAUAUGAAAAAAAGAGACAUUGACAGCAAAAUUAGUUUCUUUGAUUCUGUUGUCAAGACUGAUCCCCUUCUUGUGAACUUAAAGACCUGGAACAAUGCAAUACCCUCUAAGUGGUUAUAGGGACAUCUCUGCUGGAGCUCAGUCAUGCUCUGAAAGAGUCUAAUAUAGUUUUGGUUGUUCUCAUAAAUUAAAACUGGUUAAAACAGGUCAUACUUUUAAAUCUAAUGUUACAAUAUAUGAGCUUAUUCACGAUUUUUGAAGCUUGGAAGUUUGCUAUAGUUCAGCUGACAAAUGAGAGUUAUUUUAGUGGAGAAGAUCAGAAAUCUUCCUGGCAAAAGAAUAGAAAGGGGGCAAGUAAAGGUGUUGCACAAGGGACAAAGGAAAAACAAGAAUGCAACAAGACAGAGGCACUGAUUUUUCUGGGCUAACCAUGAUUUAUUUUAAAUUAUCUAGCAAAAUUUGAGUUGCUUUGCUCUUUUUGUUCACUGACAAAAUGUAUAGUUCUCGAUAUCAUGAAAGAGAAAUACAUCCAAGUAAAAUUAUACUACUAAACGCUGCUGCUGUUAAACACCAACAAAGCCCACUUUUUUCCAUUAUAAUUUGUAGUCAGUUUUCCAAAUAAUAAGCUAUUUCAGCAAAAGUAAUUUUUACAAAUAUAAUACUGUUAUAACAGUAGCUUUUUUGUUAAUGGAAAGGUAAUAAAAGUCAUAUCUCUAGUAUUAUUAUCCCUUGUAGAAACCUAGAGAUCUUUAAAAUUAUUUCUUAAAGUUUUACCAUAUAAAAAUGCAUAUGCCGGUAGAUUACAAAUUAAUUUUCAGCACAGCAAGAUUUUAGACAAUAGUUAUUAUCUUUAAGAGUACGUAGUUACAUUGGGAACUUAGCUGAUUCUUCCCUAGAGUUUAGCAAAUGCCUCAGAGUUUGUUCUUCUUUGUUAUUUUACUUCACCACCAAAAAUUAAUUAUUCCAGUGCCUUAUAUUUCUACCCUCCUGAAAUGAAUUACUACAGAAUACAAAAUUCCUCAAUUGGAAAGUCUCCUGGUGGGGGAGGGUAAAUAUAUAUAAAACUGUCAGGAUAAAUUGGCCAGAAUGAUUUGGCACACAUCCUCAGAGUUUGACAUGAAAACAUGUAUCUGUGUGUCAGCUGCACACAAAGGCUAUCUGGCCACAGAAAAAGCAUGAGGAUUAGACAUAAUGCUGCCUCUUUGAGACAAAGGGUAUUCCUUAGUGCAGCGAGGUUAAAAAAGACAGCUCAUCAGUAGUACAAGUCUAUCUAAAUGAUUUAGUUACCAUUUUGACCCAGAAGGAAGUGGUGACAUAUUAUUAAUUAAUUUUGGGGUUUAUUCAUCUAGUUAUUUUGGUUCAGUGAAAGCAGCAUUGGAAAUGUGAAAAGAUACCAAAAUAUGAGACCAUUUUUACUUUAAUCACUUAUAAGAUAUAGAAUCACUUUCUAAUUUUAAUGCUAGUUGCAAAAUAUAACUGAUUUCGAUUUACAUUUCACUGAGACGUAUCAUGAAGUUGCUAUGUAUGUUUGUAAGUGGGUGCAUGACUUUAAAUUCAACCAAAGUGAAUUGAACAACUCAUAUGUUCAAAAUAAAGCAUAUGCUUGUCUACCUUGCUGAAUUAAUGCUUCAUUUAUUUUCAAUUCAAUGAGAGAGAGCGUCAUUUCUUCAGUAUUGGAGAUUUAGGCCACCAAAUCUCAUCCAAGCAUACAGUAAGUCUAUGGGAUUUUUUUCUACUGCAGCCCUGAUGAUCUUUCUGAAUAUGUGGACUUUUAAAUAUUUUUUUCAGACAAGUUACGAAUUGCUUUAAAUGUUUCACAUACCUAUAUUAUGUUUAGAAACUUUUUUUAAAACAUUCAGAUAGAAGAUAGAACUCCGUGAACCUACUAGAUGAAAAUAGGGCUAGUGGCUUCAUGGGGUCUUAAGUCAUUCAGUACAAAAUAAUUAAAGGAAAAAAUAAUGGAGAAAGGAAGGAAACUAUAUAAAAGAUAUUAACAUAAACUUCAAAGCAUUCAUGCAAUGAGAGAUUCUCUUCAUAUUCUAGUGAUGGGCAAUUUGAAUUAAUUUUGGAUUGAAAUAUUUAGGGUUAUGUAAUAAGGAUAUAGAAAAACAACAUUUAGGAAUAUAUAAUUUAUCUUUUCUAAUAAAUUAUAUAUAAAAAAAUAACAGCUAGUAUAUAAUUUGAAAUUUGGCAGUUACAGAGUGAAAACUAAAAAUAUACUUUCCAAUAAUUAAAAAUCACAAGUUAAGGUGAAAAUUUUGUAUGUUUAUUUUCAACAUUGCUUAAGUUGAUAAUAAACAGAUACAAAUAUGAUGUUACAGAAAGUUAUAGUAUAUAUAUAUUAAAAAAGCAUGAUUAUGUGUCUUGUAAAUUUUCUGUGCGGUAUUUUGCUUCUAAUAUUUUAGCCAAGUAGGAAGACUUCUGUUGAAAACUUCUAAAUAUUUGUAUUCUUCUAAUUGUUCUUAUUUUCACUUAGAGGUUUAAGCUAUUUGCUCUGGAACAAAAAAAAUCGUAUGUAGAAACAGUAAAAAUAAGAUUCUGCAGAACUGAGUCAUUGCAAGUGAGAUGAAUGCCCAUGAAAAAGUACAAAUCACAAGAAAAAGCAGAAACAGGAUCAUUGUGUGUAUUAGCAACGAUGCUUACAGAUUCAUCAUGGCUCACAACAAAGAAAUGUGUUGCAGAUUUGUAUUCGAAUCAAGUGUCUCCACUGGAUAUAAUCAAUGAUUCUUCUAGAAUUAACCAACUAAACGAAUUUGCAAAGAACCCUGGUGACUAAAUCUGGGAACUUGGAGUAGAAAUGGGAUCAUAUGGAUAUUUAAUAAUAAUUGCUGGAAGGGACAAAGGAAGCCUGUCAUUCCCAAUGCUUAAUCAGACAAAUACCUUCACUGACAUUAAGGAAGUUACUGAUGUGAACAAGAAUUUGUGGACUCAAGACCUCAACCUGGCAAUGACUGAACUGAACGACAGGAAGAGAAACAGCUGGAGAUGUGGCUGCCAUUGUGUAUGUCAAGUCCAAAUCAUGUUACAUGGAUACUAGGGGUGUUACCUGCAAGCCUGGUAUCUCCCAAAAACAUAAAAACACAUUUAUAGCAUAUACAUCAGGUAUCCUACAUUCUUUUUUAAUAUGAAUGUCCAUGCACGAAUGACUACUGUACUGCUUCUGGACUGUUGAUUGAAAAAUAACAUGUAAUAUAGCUAUACUAUUGUACCUGUAUUGCUGAUAAAAUCAGACUAACAGCUAAGAGAAUUUUUUUUUUUUUAUUUGUCAGAUCAUAAAAUGUAAAUGUUAAUUUUGCCUUCAACACUAUCUAAUUAGUAACUUCCUAUUCAAAAACUUUUUUUUAUUGGCUUGACUUGCACUGCGUUUUUUUAUAAAGUGUUAUAUGAAAUGAUUUUUUUUAUCAUUCUUUUAAACUUCAUUAUCUUUUUGAUGACACAGUAAUUUUAUUUUGUAUUUUUUAAUCUCCUUUUAGCCAACUUUUUCACUUUGAUUUUUCUCUACAGCAGUCCAUGCUUUUUUGUUUUGAUAACUUUUAAUGGUAAUUAACUUUUUCAGAAGGGCACCCUAGUACUUUUAGAUGAGUUGUGUUUGCCGUCUCAAAAGAAUUUUUAAAAGCUGGCCCUCUCUACCUCCCAUAAAAAUAAUAAAGCUAUCCCUCUGGGAUAUAGCUAAGAUCCUAGAAGGUGAAAAGAUUAGCAAGAAACUGAAAUACAAAUAGUUUGCAGCCAUGUCAGGUAGCUUUGAUAAUUUUUGCAAUCUAUACUAGAGAGUGAUCAUUUCCACAACUCCAAGAGCGAGCUCAGGUGCUUUAAAGAUUGGCUUACUCUUGGAAGUACAUUUUUCCUCUAGCUGAAAAGUACAGAAAUCACUGUGUGUAAGACAAGCAUCUUGAUAAGACUCUAUAAAAUUUUUGUCUCCUUGUGAAACAGUUUGAUAAGCUUUUACAAUAUUUUGCAAAAGUUUUUGCUGAGUUUUUAUUCAUAGCCUGAUGUGUCUCAAAAUUGGAGGAAGAUAAUAUUGUACCCUUUUUUGGAUACUUGAUGUCUAGCAUUAGGGUUUAAGGUUUCUGUAUCAUGGAGAAAUUUUCAAAUAAUAUCCCCUCAGAAGAUUUUUCUUCUUGUAUACUUCAGCUUUGAAAGGUUUAAAAAGGAGUGGGUGGUAAGGGUCUUAGGGGUAUUUGGUAAUAAACCAAACAAAAGGUAGCAGAGGCACAUGAAUUAUGCAGGUUUACUGGAAGUGCAGAACUAGAAAACUCUUAUAGAAAAGUUUUUUAAAAAUUACUUACUGUGAGCAUAGUAAAAUUGCACUUACCAGUUUUCCUGAAUAAUACAACAGUUGAAAAACAAAGGUGGUACAUUUUUGACCAAAAACCAUUCAUCUUUCUUUUUUACAUGGCAACUUUUCAAAUAAUUGAAAACUUGGUUCCUUUUCAGUUAUUUUAAGGAACUAAAUCAAUUGAAAAUAUCACCAAUAAGUUCACAACUUGCAUUUAAGACAAUCCAUGCCAGCAUAACACUGCAAUACUAAAACUUUUUUUUAUCCUAGUCUGCAUCAUUAUUUGCAAACCACUAAGUGCAGAGAGCUGAAGACAAAGCAGCUGUAGGAAUAAAGAAUUUAUUUUUGAUUGUACUUGGGUUUUGGUAACAUACCUUACCUGCAUCAGAGGCUUCAGUUAAUAAUCAUUCAUUUCGUUUUUCUACCCAGUCUUGCUGUUUUGUUUCCUCUUUUAUGCUUCAUGGAGGGUAGACUCCUGCCAGUGUUCUACCAUUCCAGCAACGUGUGCAAUAUCUGAGCAUAAAAAUACGUAAUAGAAAUACUGCUUGUCCAAGCUAAAGUUAUUGAUUUGUUUCUUUCACACACUUAAUACAGUUUAAUAUGUUUUUGUCUCUCAAGAUUUUUCUUUAGCACCUCAGCCAUUAAGGUUGUCUGGCUUCUUAAUGGUUUUCAAAAUUCUUUGGCCAUCAAUAGGAUAAAGGAUUCAUUUUUUAAAACUGUCUGAAGGUCACUUUUGUCAACUAAGCAAAAUACUUUUGAUAAAAUUAACUCUUUCAGAUAAUUAUAAUAGGUUUGUAAUUGUAACAGUUUAGAGCUGAACAUGCUGAAAAUGUUCAUAAAAUCCACAUCGCUACUGGGAAGUGCUAUAAGAGGCAUCCGGUCUUCUUUUUUAGAAUGUUUCUAUUCAGUGGUACACACAAAUUGUCCACUGUGCCCCUUUGGUAUUUGAAGUAGGAGCCUAAAGCCUACCGACAUUAUGCUCCAAAAUCUUAUAGUGCCUUAUGAUCUCUGCUUUUUGUCCUUGCUGAUCAGUAUCUUCCGUGAAUAGAUGUAGAUGCAAAGUAAUAGCAAACUAACUCAUGCCUGAAGUAUAGUUAUUAUACUACCAAUUAAUAUGUAUUUUUUCCCAACAUUAAAGUAUAUUAACAAUUCCAACAAUUCCAAUGAUCACUUUUUUUCCUUAAAGAAGUAAUUUGAUAGCCAUGAAUUAGUAAAGAGAUUUCUGUCUAGGUGUCAAGGUGUAGUACAGGCUGGCCGCUUGCUGGGAGCCAGUCUGUCAGGGUAGAGCCUGGCAACCAGGGCCCAUCCCACCCCCAAGGCAGGAGCAGGACAGCAGGGUGACACCAGGGCAGCCCCAGCCCCUGGUAUGGGGCACCUCCUUGGGGAUGGGGACUGGCCAAGGAUGGGCUGGGACAUUGGCCUGCAGGUUGGCUCGGCUCGGCAGGGCCCAUGGCUGGGCAGGGCAGAGCUGUUGGGAGCUGGAGACAGGCCCUGCUGCGAAAUCUCUGCACAGGCUGACAGCCCCAGGGGCCUGACGUGGGGUCCUGGGCCAUGGACAGUUUGGGGGAAGUUCCACCCUGGGUCCCCCCAUAGGUCCUGGGGUUUGAUCAGAGACAAGCAGGGCUGUGAGUGCCCUCAGAGCCGUGAUCACAGGGGUGCUAUGCUCCUUAUUCUGUUUUUGUUCCUUCAAGUAAAAUGGCAUCUACAGUAAUUGCAUAGAUGGUCUUAAUUGAAAACCUCGUCUAAGAGGUUGCAAAUCUUAUGUAAUCCUUAUGUAGAUAGAUCUCUUCACACGAUUUUACUCCCUUCACAGGAUUUAUUUGUCAAGAACUAAUUUGUUAUGUAGAUGUUGUUUUAUCCUUAAUUAUUUACUAAAGGAGUCCCUUUUAAUAAAUAAUCUUUAGACCUGAACACUUAAAAAAUCAAAAUACAAUCUAUAUUUCAAGUACCAGACACAAAAAGAAGUAUCCUUGGGCAACAGGAUUUGUCCAUGCAGAGUAAACAAAUUAUUUUUAAUAGGUACAUACGGUUCUUCAAUUUGAUAGCUGCUUUUGCCCAUGUUGCCUGUGCCUUGUGAUUCAUUGAGGUCUAAGAAAUUGCUCCCAGAACAUCUGAUAUAGUGUUUUUUAUCCAAUUAAGUCAAUAAUCACAAGGAUUUGGAGUUCUCCACUAAUACAGUAUAGUUCAAAAUUGGUUGAUACUAACCUGUCAGCUCAAGUGGAUUAAUAGCUGGACGUCAUUAGCAGAUUGUGUGAACACUCCUAAUCCAUUUUAGGAUUAAGCCAGACAGGUUAGUUUAAAUCAUCUUAGUGGGGUUUAAAUUAGCCAAGACUCAGGCUAUGUACCAGUAUGAAGAUAUACACAUAUAUCUUUUUCAUCUAUAUUUGUUUCAGCAAUUUCACAUGCAUUAGUCAGCAUCUCUCUUCUGAGAAUAAGCACCCUCUUGGGCCUGUCAGCUGAGCUGUUCGUGUGGUUGCUCCUGCACCUACUGUCGUCAAAGUGAGCUGAGUUAUCAAAGCUCCAUUAUUAGUUCUGAAAAAUACAUUACAGGGAAGGUAUAAUAAAGUUUAUACGAGAAGUUAUAAUUCAAAAUAAUAAUUCAUUAUUUGAUCUAUAUCCUAUUUCUUCCUGGCAUCAAAGUAAUUAUGUUUGAUAGAAUGAAACUGCAUUUAAGUGUUACAAACUAUAGGGAGAGGAGAUCCACUGAGGAGACAUCUCAAGAAAUAACAGUUUGAGGCUGAGGUCUAGCUAUCUUCCUCAGUUUUACACCUAAGGCAGGAAUGAGUGAUUACUUUUCACAAAUCAUUCAUCGAGACCCAUCAUUUCAUCAUUUGAAUAUCUGCCUUUUAGCGCUUAACAGAAUUCAGCAUAAGAGAGCAAGGUCACUAAAAAUGCUAAAUUAUUAAUACAGCACCUAGAUUUCAUAAUAGUUGAUUGUUUUAGAGCAGCAGCAUUGAAUGGGUCGAGGAGAGGCAUGGAGGGAGAGGAAGAAUGACCCAGGAAUGUCAGUCUAUUCCAUGGACUGAUACGAAUCGCUGUCCUUCAAUUACAACUUGCUGUUGCUAAAUGUAGUUGCUGCUUUACUAGUAUUACUGGAAAGUGAUUCUUGGGCAAUGAACUCUUUUGCAUUACAUGUACAUACACUGAAACUUGGGACUACAUCUGCCUUUAAGAGGGGAGGAGUUUUUCUUACUGUUCAUGGUUCUGGAGGCCAACCAAACACUGAUGUAGACAAGGUGAGGCUCCCUCCAUCACCAACCCAUGUGGAAAUACCCACUGCCACCAUCACCAGGAGAUCCAAAGCACCACGGAAGUGUGCUCAGAAGGAAUUCCACAAGUGUCAGGUCUGCAAACAUCACCUGUCCAUUUUGCCCCUUUACAGAAUCACAGAAUCGUAGUGGUUGGAAGGGACCUCAGAGAUCAUCGAGUCCAACCACAAAAGUGAGGAAAGGAAUUUUAUACACUUUUAGUAGCCCAGCUGAGUUCUACCAAGGGAGAAUUUAAAUCUCUUUCCCUCUAAUAAAAUAUUUAUGCAAUUGUGUCAAGAGCUUUUCUGCUCCAGCUUUUCAAUUCCACUGUAUCUUCCUCCUCCUCUUUAUUGUAACUGGAAAUAAAGAAUCAAUGCAAAAAUCUUCAUGAUUUAUUUUGAUUGUGUGUUGUUUGAAAUUUAGAAUAUAAGUAUAAUAAUUUUUAAGUUAACUUGCAUAUACAGAAGUAUUUGAUUUGUUUAAAAAUUAAGACAAAAACCUUCAUAUCAGUGUCUCUGUCUUACUGUGUAGUUCUGCAGUACCUUCUUUGAAUGAGUAGGUACGAUGAGUUACAUAGUAGUCAGUGUUACAAUACAAAAUUUCAGAGUGCAAGGCCUUGACACAAAUGUUUGAGAUGCUGUUCAUGUUUUGUAUUCUGUAUCUUUUAGUGUUCUUUCUUGGAGCACUGAGACAGUGCUUGGAGCAUUUAGAAAAGAAGUUCUUGGUAGUGAGGGAAAGCAGUACAUACAGUAUUGUUAGGAUAAGGAUUCUUUUUAGUUACUUCUGAGGAAUAUAACAAAGGCUACGCAAAAAUAAUGCUUCAUUCUUACUGAGAGAAGCAAAUUCAGAGUUAAGAGGUCAGACACUUUUAUUACAACAGCAGUACAUCUGGAUCUGUUAAAUAAUCCAAGUGAUGCUGCACUGAACAUCACAUUUACAUUCUUUAAAUGUGUUCAGUUCUUCAAGUUUUUCAGUACAUAAAAACACUAAGGAAAUUAUGAAAAAGUCUGACACUAAAAUGAAUGUACAGUUUAUUUAUUUAAAUGUUUUAUAUUUAAUGUAAAAAGAUGCUUGCAACAUCUUUGUAUAUAGUUAAAAUUUACACUAACAUCACUGUGAGUUAUUCAAGAAUACAAAAAAAAGGAAACUUCUGCAUUUUUACUGCGUCUUUUUAAGCAGUCCUCAAACAGUAUGAUCUAUGUUAGUACUGAAGUAUAAUUAUAUUCCAGACAAGACACAGCAUGGUUCGGAGCCCAGGUAAUAAUCCCUCCUCGAUGGUUCCUUGUUCUGUGAUGGGCCAUCUUGUCUUACUCUGGACUAUGUUUAUAGUGAACCAUAAGCCCUGAGGAGCAUGGUGCUGAGACAUCCCUAUAGCUUUAGGCUAAGGCAGCAGAGUUCAACUUAGAUUAUUGGUUUGGGCAUUUGGCCAACAUUACUGGAGCUGCUGGCAACGGUAUGAGGCAAAGAAAUAAAGGGAGAAAGUAAGGAGGCUGUAAUGAACCCUGGUGCUGGAGCAGAAGCUAGUGAUAGCAAGGUGUGAUUGGAAAACAUGGAGAUACACUACUUAGAAAAUCCAUAGUGUAGCAAUUUAAAAAAAAUUUGCAUUUCAUACAGCAAAAUAAUGUACCUAUUUGCAGGCAUGUAUGCUUUCAGGGCUGCACACGCACACACAGCAAGAGAUAUGCUGCUGUAUAAGCAUUAAUUUUGCAAUUUUUUGAGUGUCUACAAUAUUAGGUGACAUUCCAGCAAUGUUUUAAUACUGAAUUCUCUGAAAAGCAUGUUGGUAGAUAUUUUUGAGAGGAAAACAAAUUAAAAUCUAUAUUCUGAGCUCUGCCAGUUUGCCAAGCUGCUCAAUUUUAUUCAGGACAUCUUAGGAACAUAUAAAUAAAGGUAAAGUAGCAAAACAUCCAAAUGCUCGUCAGAUUUAAGGAAACAACUCAAGUUGAUCCCCAUGGAAAGCAACUAUUUAAUUUAAGAAUGCUUACUGGCAUCAAUGUUGGUUUUGCUGGUAGACAGUGAGUAAACAAGCUAUAAUGUUGUCUACAAUAUAAAAGUUAUAAACUUAAUGUCUUAGCUUGCCUCUGUCAAACUCAAGGGCAAAGCUCCAAUUGACUUUACUGGAGCAGGGACUAAAAGUUCAAGCUAGCUUGAAAAAUACUGCGAAGAGGCUCAUUUUUGUUGUGAAUGUGUGUUAUAUGCAACUUUUAUCAACAAAAAAAGUUUCUAAGCAUCUGUUAUUUUACAUUUUUACUUCACUGAGUGCAAGAGACUUUAUUUCUACCACCAGCUAAAUUACUCAGAAUUUAUUUCAGUAACUUUAUUCUAUUUGGCUUCACAUUGUAUUUUAGACUUUUAGCCCUAAAUUGCAGAUGUUUGCAAUAGGUUAUGCUUAAGAGAAAAGGAGGGUUUAAGACUAAGAGUUUCCCUUAUUAUGCCUGCUAAGCUACUUAACUGAAUCCUCUUUCUCUUAUAAAUUGCCUUAUCUGUUUGUUUAGUUUUUUCAAACCAGCAUUUGUUGUGGGGCUUAUAAAAAUUUAUUUUGAACCCUAUGUAUUGUGAUAUGUUGAAUCAAUGGUUUCUUUGAAUUUUUUGUAUAUGUUAGUUCCUAAAUUGCCGUAUAUCCAGGAUUAUAUUGUUUUUGCAGUUGUAGGUUUGUCUGUAUUAAAGCAGUUCUGAACUUAU
Long non-coding RNA from Calidris pugnax (ruff), 14390 nucleotides. RefSeq lists it as uncharacterized. NCBI's taxonomy places the organism in Eukaryota, Metazoa, Chordata, Aves, Charadriiformes, Scolopacidae. The record is from RefSeq and is a predicted model, not a curated record. The transcript has 3 exons.